GACGAACGCUGGCGGCGUGCUUAACACAUGCAAGUCGAACGGAAAGGCCCUGCUUUUGUGGGGUGCUCGAGUGGCGAACGGGUGAGUAACACGUGAGUAACCUGCCCUUGACUUUGGGAUAACUUCAGGAAACUGGGGCUAAUACCGGAUAGGAGCUCCUGCUGCAUGGUGGGGGUUGGAAAGUUUCGGCGGUUGGGGAUGGACUCGCGGCUUAUCAGCUUGUUGGUGGGGUAGUGGCUUACCAAGGCUUUGACGGGUAGCCGGCCUGAGAGGGUGACCGGCCACAUUGGGACUGAGAUACGGCCCAGACUCCUACGGGAGGCAGCAGUGGGGAAUAUUGCACAAUGGGCGGAAGCCUGAUGCAGCAACGCCGCGUGCGGGAUGACGGCCUUCGGGUUGUAAACCGCUUUCGCCUGUGACGAAGCGUGAGUGACGGUAAUGGGUAAAGAAGCACCGGCUAACUACGUGCCAGCAGCCGCGGUGAUACGUAGGGUGCGAGCGUUGUCCGGAUUUAUUGGGCGUAAAGGGCUCGUAGGUGGUUGAUCGCGUCGGAAGUGUAAUCUUGGGGCUUAACCCUGAGCGUGCUUUCGAUACGGGUUGACUUGAGGAAGGUAGGGGAGAAUGGAAUUCCUGGUGGAGCGGUGGAAUGCGCAGAUAUCAGGAGGAACACCAGUGGCGAAGGCGGUUCUCUGGGCCUUUCCUGACGCUGAGGAGCGAAAGCGUGGGGAGCGAACAGGCUUAGAUACCCUGGUAGUCCACGCUGUAAACGGUGGGUACUAGGUGUGGGGUCCAUUCCACGGGUUCCGUGCCGUAGCUAACGCUUUAAGUACCCCGCCUGGGGAGUACGGCCGCAAGGCUAAAACUCAAAGGAAUUGACGGGGCCCCGCACAAGCGGCGGAGCAUGCGGAUUAAUUCGAUGCAACGCGUAGAACCUUACCUGGGUUUGACAUGGAUCGGGAGUGCUCAGAGAUGGGUGUGCCUCUUUUGGGGUCGGUUCACAGGUGGUGCAUGGCUGUCGUCAGCUCGUGUCGUGAGAUGUUGGGUUAAGUCCCGCAACGAGCGCAACCCUUGUUCACUGUUGCCAGCACGUUAUGGUGGGGACUCAGUGGAGACCGCCGGGGUCAACUCGGAGGAAGGUGGGGAUGACGUCAAGUCAUCAUGCCCCUUAUGUCCAGGGCUUCACGCAUGCUACAAUGGCUGGUACAGAGAGUGGCGAGCCUGUGAGGGUGAGCGAAUCUCGGAAAGCCGGUCUCAGUUCGGAUUGGGGUCUGCAACUCGAUCUCAUGAAGUCGGAGUCGCUAGUAAUCGCAGAUCAGCAACGCUGCGGUGAAUACGUUCCCGGGACU
RNAcentral lists this ribosomal RNA (1346 nucleotides) under uncultured bacterium. RNAcentral's name for it is "partial 16S ribosomal RNA". It matches the Rfam family "Bacterial small subunit ribosomal RNA", at positions 28 to 1381 of the family's 1533-position model. The record is from RNAcentral.